This is a non-coding RNA of Cricetulus griseus (Chinese hamster), 4136 nucleotides long. Lineage: Eukaryota; Metazoa; Chordata; Mammalia; Rodentia; Cricetidae. The record is from RefSeq and is a predicted model, not a curated record.
ACUGUUCUGAGAAGAGUGGGACUUGUUUACUAGAGAACCAGCCUGUGACUCCUGGGGAAAGGGGGUGGAGAGGGGGAAAAUACGGGAGAGAGUGAGGCAACUGGGGCUCAAAACAGUCAAAUUCAAAUUAAAAGGUCAAGACACGAUUCAGCUUGGCCCCUGGGCCUGGGAGCUUCGGACCACAAGUCUUGGAGAUUAACUGAGUUGCAAGUUCAUUGUGGGGACUGAGAAUCUCCAGUGUUUGGAGUGGGCCCGGGAACGGCUCGGCUCACGGCCAUCUCAGGCAAAAAGAGAACCCCGGUGGAUUUAGGGAUCCCUGGAGGAGGAAGCUGAAGAUUAGAGGAAACGGAAUCCGGAGAAUAACUUGUCUUUCCGGUAGCCCCGCAUUUUUCCCCAGGCAGAGGCUGUGGACUUUCCUUUUUCCGAAGGACCAGAGCCUGGCUGGGAAAGGAUUCCUGGGCCUGACGCACCGGCAUGGAUGAGAGAAGAAGCUGGACCGAUUUCUGGAGGCCCUAGCCGGCUGUGAUGGAAGAAGACUAAGGAAAGAAUUGUGCCCCGAAUUCCCCCAACCAGGAGAAGAAGACCCAGGGGUCCCUUAAUUCCAGGGGCGGGGGGGGGGGAAUGGAAAGAUCUCUGGAGUUUGUGACUUAUUUGCAACUGGCAGGGAAGAUCUGAAAUAGUUUUAUGUUUUCGUUUGCAGGGGUCACCCUGGAUUCAGCCUGGGGGUUAUCCAGGGCAAGGUUAGGCUGUUUAGGCCCCAGACCAGACUUGGGACAGUCCCCAGCAGCAGUCAAUCGAGGGAGCCAUUUGUUCCACUGACCAUCCCGCGGGAAACAGCCGAGACUUUAUGGCCACUCUGUUUGUAUUAUCUGCAUAAGUCUUUCCCCACGAGUUUGAUCGAAACCGUUCCCUUUUACGAGGACCCAAAGAAAAUUUCCCGUCAUAUUUAUCAGCUGGGGAUAAAAAUUUAGUAUGGGAACUGAUAUUUCCUCAUUUAUGGGACGAUGAAAUUAAAGACCAAAGCAAUUGAGAAUUAUAUGGCUUUGGGGGUUCCCUCCCCCUCUUUCACAUCUCUUUAUUUCCCUCCAUGGUGUGCCUGUCCCUGGAGUCUGUCCUCUCAAAACCCUGCCCUUGUCCCCUGUUUUGGAGGCUGGUAGGGCUCUUUCUCCAACAGCCAGGUGCAGCUGGGCUACCAUAGCUCUUCCCAGCUUUUAUCUCAAGGACCGGAGGAACUAGGGAAGGGACAGUGUCUCCAUGUAGAACACGGUGUGCUGGCUGGAGAGGAGGUUUUGAGGGAAGAGCUUUGCAGGGGACAGUGGGAUUGGAACCCAGCCUCAGAUACUGAGAGUCAGAAAAUUAAGUCAACAAAUUCUAGAAUAAUCCUCAAACAACAUGCUCCCUCACAGCAACUGGCCGGCUAGCAAGAGAGAAGCAAAGUCAUUCAGCUUCUGGGCCUCUCUUCCCUACCAGCCAGAACCCCCCCCCAACCCAAGCCUACCUCUAACCUCAGCCAUGGGAGGGAAGGGAGUUGCUUCAGGAUUCUUACCAUUAUGAGUGGAAAUAAUACCCUUAGGAGAAAAGCUUCCUGCUUCAACUCCCACCUCCUCACAAGAACGAAUAGUGUUUAAAGUUGAAAUAAUUAGAAGUAUGAUAAACACGGCCCAUUAAUGAAACAAGAAAUCAAAUUCAUCAGCCUAAGUGGGACCCCCGUUGGGACAAAUGUUUGCCUCUAAUUACUCAAGAUAAACGAAAACCCAGUGCUGUUAAGCAAGAGCCUUCUGGCUUGCUCGGACGCAGACGUGACUAACUUGUUGGCUUUCCCAAGACUUUGGGAUCUAACUUAAAGGAGGUAAAAGAAAAAGAAUAAGUGAAAGUGAGGGCGGCCGGGUAGAGAGCAUCUGUGUGGGUCGAGGAAAGUCCUGUCUAGCCUGGGUCCCAAGCCCUGCCCCCUUGGGCUUGCCUUUCCUGAGUCCACGAGCAAAGGCAGUUUCCGUCCUAUUGUCCUGGCCUGGCGUUCAAAGGCAUGCGUGCCGCCUCAGCCACCCGAUCUGCUGCCACUGCCAGGCGCCCACUGGCCUUACCCAAAGGGCACCUUUGGCAACUGGAGUGGGCGCCAGGGGAAGUCUGUGUUGCUAAAGCCACCCCCAUACUUUCUUUCUUUCCUUUUUUUUUUUUUUUUUUUUUUUUUUUUUUUUUUUAAGGUUAUCUCUUCAACUUCCCCCAAUGUAGACAGCCCUACUCCUAAGCCUUACUCUGGGUCUCCCCUUUUCUUACCUCAACAAGGAAGUGAAAAUUCCGGGGGACUGCAGGCCAAAGUGGGGCAAAGGCUGUGCCUAUGUCUCAAUUAAUCCCACCCACCCUAAGAGGAAGGCCCAGGCCCCUUUUACUCUUCCCGCCCCGGUAUCCAGACACUGAAGUACAGCCCUGUUGACUGGACUGGGCCGCCUAGGCCUCCUGCGGCCUUUGGGUCGGUGAGCAAAGGAACAGAAGAGGGUUCAGGGGCUACUGGCUGACUCCAGAAGGGCCCAGCAGUUCUUCGGGGCCAGACACCCUAAGGUUCCCUGUAAAUGGAUUAGAAUGAAGCUAGGCUCUUUUCAGCAGAAGCCCUCAAAUCGUCCCAGCAGCACCCUGUUUCGUCCUCUGAAAAUUGUCGGAGUUUCCUUGAGAGGUUAAGGAUGAUCUGGGAAAUUCUGAAGAUGAUGAAAAAGAAGGAAGAGUGUAUCUCCUUUUGGAAUAAAAAUAAUUAAAUACAGUUUAAAAAUGCGCAUACUGAAAUCUCUUCAAGCAAAAAUGGAAAACAAAAUCACACCAUUGACUAUUGGGAUUUUCUUCAUGUUUUGGAGGCCGAGAUUAAUCUUUCUUUUCCCAAAUCUUGCAGGAACAAUUCGCUUUUCUUCCAGAGUACCACUUGAAUUGAGAGCAGGGGAACUCCAAGCAAAAAGUGGAAUGCUCAGAGGUUCAAGGGGAAAGGGUUUCAAACAGGUAAAAGAGGUAUGAAGCUGAGGACGGAUAAAGGGCUUCUGUUCUAUUUCGGAUUUUGCAGCCACCCGGGCAAGCAGCGCCGCCAGCAGACUCGCUCUCACAUCUAGACAGUGUACACACUUGCACCCACAGGCUCUAUAGCGUCUAUCCACACAUGUCCAGCUUGCACUUAAUUGCACGGACACAGCCUCGAUUAUUUACUUCUAUCCAAAGCGCUUCCUGCAGUUCUUGAAUCCUGAAGUUCGCUAUCCCGCGUCAGCCCGACUGCUUCCUGGCCCUUCUGAAACCAGUUAUUUAACCUUGCCUAUGGAAUCGAAACCAGACCGCACAGACCUCAGAGAGAAAUGUUAGGAGGAGGAGCCCAAAGGGAGGAGGUCUUGUGGGGGGAAGACCUUGGUCCCCACUUUAAUGGUUUGUUUCUGAGUUGCCUCUGUAGGUCAGAUUUCUAGUCAGUGUAGACUGGUUGGGCUGCCUUGCUCCUGAGGGAAAAAACGUAAAAACAAAAACAAAAACAAAACAAAACAACAACAACAAAAAACAACCAAAAACAGGAUCUUCCUUCACCAGCUAAAUUUCUUUUCAACGGUUUUUUCUUUUCUUCUGUUUCCUUUUUCUUCCUUUCUCUCAUUUUUCCUCUCCUGCUUUCUCUUCUUUUUCUUUUUUCUCUGUAAUUCCCCGGCCCCCAAGAAUUUAAUUUGUUGUCUUGUUUCCCCCUUUCCCUUUUUCUACUUUAUUAUAAACAUUAUCCUUUGCUUUCUUUGAUUCCUUGCUGCCCCUCGACUUUUAAUCCCCCCACCCAGGCUUACUUAUUUUUUUCUGUUGUGCUGGGUUAUGUGAAUAGGAUAAAGACAGGCCGGAUCCAUGACUCCUCAUUCCAGUUGCUCCAGCUUGAAGUUGACCUUCCGCCUUCAGCCUCAGCUCAGCUCAGCUCAGCUCCUCACAAGGCGAAGUGUACAACAGUCAGCCAGCAGAGGUGGCCAGGCCUCAGAGUCGCCAUUAGAGAGAAGGGAAUGCCGACUCAGAGGCACCUCCCAUCCAUGCCAAAGGCUCCUUGAAAUGCCAGGCUCCAGGGGUUCCAUGUCAUCUUCAUUUCCAGCAUGCUAAAGAAACUUGGUCCAUCAGAUCCAUAAUUAAAGAAAAGCUCCCUUAUCUUU